RNAcentral lists this long non-coding RNA (490 nucleotides) under Vombatus ursinus (common wombat). RNAcentral's name for it is "lncRNA (ENSVURG00010017847.1)". The record is from RNAcentral. Lineage: Eukaryota; Metazoa; Chordata; Mammalia; Diprotodontia; Vombatidae.
GGAGACGUGCGCAAGGGAGAGCAAGGCGGGGCGGGGGUUUGCACUCACUCCCUCGGUUCCGCAACUAUAAAACUCUUGCUACCUGCUGCAACUCACCAACGCCAGGCUCAGAGGAGUCAGCUGGACAUCGGUAGCUACCGUCUGCACUGCACCAGCUCUGAACGCCCCGAGCCAUGGAUCCCCAAAACUGCACCUGCCCUACUGGAGGCCCUUGCACCUGUUCUGGCCAUUGCAAAUGCAAAGACUGCAAAUGCACUUCUUGCCAGAAAAGAGGCUGCACUACCUGCUGCCCUACUCAGUGUCCUAAGUGUUCCAAGGAUUGUACCUGCAAAGGGAAUGACAAAGGCAGCUGCUGCCAUUGAGGGAACUGCUGGCUUCUUGUAAAUAUAACCAUUGUUUCCUAGAGGCAUGAGCUGUGUCUUGCCUGCCCUAAAAUGCGUUCAUGUGUUUUCAAAUGACAAUAAACUCAGUGAACAAAAUAAAUUCCUGG